This 448-nucleotide ribosomal RNA is filed under the name uncultured bacterium. RNAcentral's name for it is "partial 16S ribosomal RNA". It matches the Rfam family "Bacterial small subunit ribosomal RNA", at positions 328 to 792 of the family's 1533-position model. The record is from RNAcentral.
UUGCCAGACUCCUACGGGAGGCAGCAGUGGGGGAUAUUGCACAAUGGGGGGAACCCUGAUGCAGCGACGCCGCGUGGGUGAAGGAGCGUUUCGGCGCAUAAAUCCCUAUCGGCAGGGAAGAAGGAGGAAGGUACCUGACUAAGAAGCCCCGGCUAACUACGUGCCAGCAGCCGCGGUAAUACGUAGGGGGCAAGCGUUAUCCGGAUUUACUGGGUGUAAAGGGAGCGUAGGUGGCGUGCCAAGUCAGGAGUGAAAACCCAGGGCCCAACCCUGGGACUGCUCUUGAAACUGGCAGGCUUGAGUGCUGGAGAGGUAAGCGGAAUUCCUAGUGUAGCGGUGAAAUGCGUAGAUAUUAGGAGGAACACCAGUGGCGAAGGCGGCUUACUGGACAGUGACUGACACUGAGGCUCGAAAGCGUGGGGAGCAAACAGGAUUAGAUACCCCAGUA